RNAcentral lists this long non-coding RNA (12551 nucleotides) under Anneissia japonica. Its description in RNAcentral is "uncharacterized LOC117117095". The record is from RNAcentral. Lineage: Eukaryota; Metazoa; Echinodermata; Crinoidea; Comatulida; Comatulidae.
ACCUUAUUCAGUACUACACUAGGUUUAGGCCUAAAAUAUUGUAUGAAAGAAUGGAUUUUUCCUAUUCUCUUAAAUUGUAGCCUUCUUUACAGGUGCCAACAUGCACAGUAUUUUGAUCCUGUUGUGUGUACAUGUGCUUUACAACAGGAAGUAUAAAACAUUGUUCCCCACACAACAAGCAAGGACUCAACGCAACUACGCAGACGCAAUGUUAGAGGCAAAGCUAGCCUUCUUUGGGACACCCCUAUUCACUCAGUGGACACGUCUAUUUAAUGGGACACUUUUCUUGGUCCCGAAGGUAAUCCCUUAAUAACAGGGGUUCUACUGUAAUGUAUUUGCACACGUUCCAACCCCUACCCCUAGACCUAAAAAAAUCGGGAGGCGCAGGUGAAGGGUGCCCCCAUUUCCCACCAAUUAGUACAGCCAAUGGACGUCGAUGUGAAGCCAAAAUACAAAGAUGCGUCAGCACAGUAUUAUUCAGCACAGCCUUUGAACCACGACCACUGGUAUGUCCAAAAUUUUCGGGAUAAAUGUAUGCAAACACCAAGUGUACCUUCCAUAGACACCCAUGACAUGAAUGAUAAGCAGUUCAAAUUCUUUACUGGGCUAUCAUCUACCACAUUUUGGGUUUUACUGUCAUCGAUUAUGUGUGGACCACAACUUCCAUCACAUUCUCUACUAGUGGCUGAACAGUUUUUAAUGGUAUUAAUGAGACUCUGUUUAGGUCUGUUGCUACCAAAUUUAGGUUAUAGGUUUAAAAUAUUAACAUCGACAGCAAGCAAAAUAUUUAGCAGGUGGACAAUAUUAUUAGGACAAUAUUCAAAGAACCUUGUCCACUGGAUACCGAGCUACGGCCUAAAUAGGAUACGUCCAAAAUGUUUUGUGGAAAACUACUCUAAAGUUACAUGCAUAAUUGAUUGCACAGAAAUAUUUGUACAACAAAGAUUUAAUGCAACGAGUGCAAACAUAUUCAAAUUACAAAUCACAUAAUACAUACAAAGCCCUUUAUUGUAUUGCUUGCACCCAAUGGGUUUGUUACGUUUGUAAUGGUCGAUAGAGGGUUUACCAUCGAAGACCAUUCAUGAUCAAACUGAACAUCAACUAUUACAUUGUCAAUUUCGCUCCAAACAAAAAAUUUACAUUUUGAUGCUCUGGCACAAAACAUGCCAACCUGUACUUGAUAGUAAUAACCACUUGCUGCUGCAGUUUGCUUUAGUUCAUACAUCCCAUUUAUCAUUUUAACUUUCCAUUUACCCCCCUGUAUUACCCCUUUGACAGUACCACCAAACUUGUCCAACUUUUCCUUAGUUAAUUUUAUUUCUAAUAUUGUUUCAUCAUCGAUAAUGCCAUCCAAACUGGCACCUAAACAACUGGUUUCUGGCCAACAAAAAAAGUCCUGUUUUGUAGAAACCUUGCAGUUAGUUAAAUCUUUGAAGCAUUGUCUCGCUAUUGGUUCAAAUUUUGAACCAUACCGCGUACUGUAGCUUUGUUACCAUGAAAGCACGGCUGCAUAUGGUCUUGUAUCCAACGCGACACAUCAGUUGUCUCCUUUUUUGGUACAGAGCCUGCCGUACUCCCAGUUAUCCUUAAUUUGCGUUGUGAGGUCCACAAAGCCGAGUCCUGUUGUGCUGUUUCAACAGCUAACCGUGAUGCUGGACUAUCGUUCAACAAAACAUAUUCAGUAUAUCUUUUGACAAGCCCUGCAGCGUAGCUCAUUAGAAGAAUGAUCAUCAUGGUUGAUUGUUUUACUUCUGGAGUGUUCAGGAUUAACAGUGUGGUUCAAUAAUAAACCUGGAAUGUUGCUUAGUUCUUUCAUAACGUUGCUGGUAUGAUGUUUUUUCAUGUCCUCAUCGGUUUUGAACUUAAGAAAGUUGGAUGAUAAGCAUAGCCUCUUUUCGCCGCUUCUGAUAUUUUCCACCGAAUCAGGUACAACAUUCCUCUUUGUUCCUCGAUUCCAUACCAUUGCCAUGUCAGUACAAACUUUGCCAAUUAAGCCUUGUUUGUUAGCUUCAAAGAUUUUGAAGACUAUAGCCAGCAGUAUGACUGCAACACUUGCCUCUUGCAGCAAUACAUUCACAGUCCACAUCAAUAAUUUGAUUGUCAUCUUUAUUAACUGUAAUCUGGACAUCAUGUUCCCUUCCGAUAAUGUGUGAGUAACAGACUUUGGCCUUAAGAUCAAUGAUCCUGCACUGUAUAGAUUUGUACUUGUGGAACACUGUCAAUCCAGUUAGAGUUGAAGUAAUUUUGUCCUUCAAGAAUGCUUCUGUAGUUAUGAUUUGGCUGACCAUCACAUGCAGGGGCAUAAACAAAAUAAUCUGUUAUGUCUGAAAAUAAAUGCAAAAAAAGAAAGUUACUAUAUUGCAUUAAAAUAAGUAAAUAAAAAUAAAUAAGGGUUUGGUCUGGAAGGUAUCCCCAUAAUAGGGGCUCUACUGUAAUGUAUUUAGGUCUGGGACAUUAGCAUUUUAAAGGACCCUCAAAUUCACAAUUUGUAGGCGUGGGAGUAUAUCGGUAAGUAUUCUCUGAGGAAUACAUAGGCCUAGUUGUAUUAGCUGCUGAAGAUGCAGAUGCGAUGAAUUGAGGCAAAGCUAGCCUUCUUUGGGACACACCUAUUCACUCAGUGAAUACCUCUAUUUAAUGGGACACUUUAUUGGUCCAGAAGGUAUCCCCUUAAUAGGGGCUCUACUGUAAUGUAUUUAGGUCUGAGACAAUAACAUUUUAAUGAACCCGCAAAUUCAAAAUUUGUAGGCGUGGGAGUAUCGGCAAGUACUCUCUGAGAAAAAUAUACCAUAGCCGUAUUAGCUGCAGGAGGUGUUACGGAGAAAAAGGUGGGAUUAGUUUAGGGGUGAUUGUAGACACGUUAUUCCCGGAGUUGAUACUUAUUGUAGUGAUGAUGGGAGAAUGUAACCCAGGACUCCGGGUAGGUCUUCAAUAAACCAGAAUGAUGAGUCCUUCCUUAUUUUCCGAUACACAAAAGAAUACAUUGCAAGUUAAUGCUGUGAGGUCUAGACUCAAUUUUUCUUUAGUGGGCAAACAUCACACCUUGUACUGACUUUCACAGAUUCUGGCAUGUGUACACCAACAUUUUGUAGUCAAAUGUCAUGUUGUUUAAUGCGCCCAGAAUUGGCACGUUUCUGCGUUAACCAUUUAUUGAGUGCUCAAAAUAAGCAUUAAUACAUAUUAUUAACAAGCCCUUAAGAUCCAGUACCACCAUUUUAUAGAUUUUCUAUACACCCUCCUGUGAUAUCAGCUUUAUCCUAAUAAAGGAGUUGUAGUCUGACGCUACAGUUGGACAGGGAACAAUUUGAGAUUCGUAUUUUAUUUCUUUUCAAAAUGGUGGUUUCCCUGCCAUGGUACAGUAGUUAGAGAUAAAAAGCAUUAACUUUUUAUCCAUCCAUCUGAAUACAUUGAUUACUUUUUCAGUUAUUUUAGGCUGGUGGUCUCCCCUAUUAUUUAAUUUGCAAAUAAAUAUAUUUAUUUUUUAGCCUUGCAACUGCAAUGGCUCUCUUCUCUUCAAAAUCUUCUGUAGAUGCAUCAAGGAAUUUCACAUUCUGCUGCUGGUAGUUAGGAUUAACUGGUCUGGUAGCUGAUGUUCCUAUCUUGGGCAGUCUUUUAAAAAAGACACUGUUAUAUUGUUGAUGUCUGUAUUUCUGAUAUUCAAAGUGCUGCAUAGACUAUGUUCAUCUUUUGAGCUUAUGGCCAAAUUUUAUAAUCUCUCUUUGCAUACUCAACUUCUUUCUAUAUAAUGCAAUCAUCAUUGUCUGAGGGCUUCUACUAAAAUAACAAAAAGUCUUCUAAUUCAAUGAAAGUCUGGUAGUGAAGGAUAUGUUCUUAUGAAGUGUUCUCGGGAAGCAUUCUUCCACGGUCUCCUCCCAGCCAUUCCUCUCAAGUGUAAAUAAAUGACCUGGUGCAGGCGUUGUGAGUAAUAGGACACUCGGCAUAUCUAGGAAUGAACUUGCAGUAAUGCCCAGUUGAACUUAAAAUGCCUGUACAUUACAUUUAGAAAUGGGCCUUGGGAAGUCUUUAACAGCUUCAGUGACCCACUACUGUACCAAUUUUGUGUCCAAAAUACGACACUUGGAUUGCCAAUAUGACAUUUAACUGGCUUUGCCAUGCCUCACCAAUCUUAUCUAGGUGGGUGAGUUAUGUGGUUUUCACAUGCAGCAAUAAAUAUCCCAAUAUCGCCAGUGUAUGCUCGUGAAAAUGUAUCACAUCCACGUUAAACAAAGAUUGUAUUUUUCUCUUUAAAUAGAGAAAACACCUGCAAAUGAGCAGAACGUAAUCUUGAGUUAGCAUUAAUUGGUAGAUUUUUCAGCCGCAACACCUCGAUCCAUUUAGAUAUACUUUUUCUCCAUGGAUAACAGUAGUCGAUGGUAUGUAACAUGAAUGUCCCAAUCUGAUCUGUUCACCGCACUGCAUUGAACAAUCGCUUUGGCAUUGUCCAUCAAAUACUUAACGUAUGCAAACAUAAGUCAUUGUUCAUUUAUAUUAAAGGUGUUAAACAUCAGAAUAACUUCGGAAUGAUAAAAAAGUUGAUUACAAUAGAAUGAUAAUUCGUCUUUCCGCUCAGCAAUUGUAUUUGAAUAUAGCGGUAAAUUCAUAAUUUUCAUGUGUUUCUUGUAGUUAUACAUUAGAUGAGGACAUCACAUUUGAAAUAUAUAAUAUAUAUUUCUGUAGUCAGUUUGUUGUAACAUCAGAACCAGAAUGUCAGUAAUGACAUGAUGACUGGUAACCUGAAGAAUUUGCAACUCACCUAAAAUCUCAGUGUUUCAAAGUUUAUGUAUUUUUUAUGCUAAUUGCCAUCAAACAAAAGUGAACUGCUGUGGUCUCCAUCUUCGUUUUUAUUAAUGCCAUCUUUAUUAAUGUAGUAAUUUUAGCUAACCUCAUUUUUGAGUUCAAACACAUAGAGUUUCUGCUUUUGUUUUUUGUCACCUUUGAUUACAAAAUGAUUUAUACAUGCUCUAAAAAUUCAAAGUUUUCUUCAAGUAUAUUUUAUUUCUGACAACCUAUAACAAAAAGCAAAAUGACAUGAACAUGCGAAAGUAAUGGAUUUAUGGAUGGAAAUUGAAAAACCAAAUUAGAGAUCACUGAAGCAUCAACAUUUCUGUUACCAUAUUAAUUCUGUUUGUCAGUUGCUGUAUAUUAAUAAAUGAACCAGUUUAUUGUGGAAUUUCCAGACAUUGCCAGGUGACCAUAGGUGAUAUGAGAAUAGGACUGUAUAUUCAAUCAAAGCUGACCUGCACAUUCUGUGAUGUUGAUGGUAGAGCUACACUCGUUUAAUCCUCAUUAUCACUGAUACAGUAUUUGAAAUGAUGAAGUAAAAUCCUGCCAACAUAACUCAUUUGUUUGAACUUUUUCCAAGUUCCUGUAAAAUAUAAUGUUGGACAUGAAUGCAGUAAUACAAAUUUUUAUCAGACAUUUGACUACUUGAAGUAGUGAAGUAGGACACAAGAUUGGUUCAUUAUUUACUGAGAACACAAGUAUAAGCAACACAUUUGACCACUUGAUGUUGUGAUAUGCCAUAGGAUAUUGAAUCGUCAAAGCAUUCCAUACAAAUAUCACCAGUCAUAAUUGAUCACUUGAUGUUGUACUGGACCAUGGCCAAAAGACUUUAUACAACUAUCAGACAUAUUUGACUAGUAGCUGUAAUGAUAAAUCAGAUUGGACUAUCUGUGCAGAGCUUGAUACAAGCAUAUUAGUGGCAGACAUAUUUGAUAGAAUGCCACAGCAACUUAUACCAUGGCAAGAGAGUAACAGAGAUAUUUGACCACUUGAUGUGAUAAAAUGGCGCAGUGGAUUUGACCAUUAUUUACCAAAGAACUUCAUACAAGCAUGAUUAUCAGCCAUAAUUGUCCUCUUAAUAAAAUAUCAGAAAAUUGAACCAAAGGAAACAGUAAAACUAUGGCCAGAGACAUGAUAGGAUGAAAUGGUACAGCAGACUACACCAUGCCGCAGGACUAUAAAUAUCAGAAGACAGUUUUUUCCAAUUGCAUAAUAACAUAGCACAUCAGGUUGCACAGUGGCCAGAAAACUUUAUGCAGGUAUUAUCAGACAAAUACCAUCAGCAAUGAUAGACUGACUACAACAACAAUAAGUUGUCCACUUUGGUUGAAAAGUUAAAAUCAUCCUCUUGAUUCAAUUGAUGUGCUGGCUGUCAAGAAAUUUAGACAUGAUAAGCAUACAAUAACAACAUGUUAAAGUCCAUUUAACUAAUUAUAAUGUUCAUGUGAUAUUUAGGAUGAUCCUGAAUUCAUCAUCAUAUGCAUUUUACAUACAAAUAUCUUGAGCAUUCCAACCUGCAAUUGGCAAACUGUCACAUAUAAAUUCAUAUAUGGACAUGCCUAUUAAGAAUAACAAUUUUAAAUAAAUAUAUUAUGGAGAGUAAAUUUUGUCAAUAUUUUUCAAAAUUUUAAGGUAAAAUACAACAAAACAUGAAGGUAAUUAAAAGAAAACCAAAUCUAUUGACAAAUUGUAACUUAACUGAAUUCCUAUGGAUUUUUUUUUAUAGUACUUGAAAGAUCAAAAACCAAUUUUACUCGAUAUUAUUUUGUUAUUUAUUAUUCUAAACCCAAAGUUCAAUUGCCAUAGUGGUAAAUUACUAACCAGCCACAGCAGUUCUUAAUUGUUUUUGGCAUUCUUGAUCUAACCUUGUUCUUGAUUAGCUGUUCAUACAGCAUAUCUUUUUCUUUGUCUUGUCUGUAAUGAAAAUUAUCGUGUUGGACCUUGGUGAUUAGUCUUGUUAUAUAUAAGUUGUGGCCUAGCUUCUGAACAUUUCUUGUUUGCCGAUAUUUGUUCUUAUGUAUUUAAAUAAUACAGGUAAUCAAAUUAAAAAAGCUUACAGGUUGUGACGGAGAAGGCACUGUCACCAUAAAAAGGUGGAAACAAUGUACUCCAUUUGGAAUGCAAGAGUACUGUACUGACAAUUACGAUAGUAUUCUAACCUUCUUUUGCCAAUUACGCCACCUCUCUUUCCUCUAGUAGAGGACGCUGGCACCAUUCUUGAAACGUGAAAGCCGAUUCAAGUGUUCAAAUUUCAUAAAUACUUGGCAAGUCCCUAUGUAAUUUUGUAAUAGCUUUUGUUCUUAUGGUUGAAUUUUCAGUUUGGCUUAAUUUACAGUACUGUAUUUGAUGAUGGUAAAUUUUGGUCAUUUAAGUUUUAAGUCAUCCAUCAGCCUGUUCUUUUAUUCUGUAUCAUCACUUAUGAUACAGAAAUCAUCUCUUGACAGGAAAUUGGCCCUGAUAAAGUGUACACUUUUCAAAGCAUUUUCUUGGCCAUCUUUUUGACCAUUCCAGUCUCAUAAAAAAGUAUAAAGUUUCAGGGUUUGCUCAAUCUCCAAUAUUUGAUGAUAGUAAAGUUUGGUCGUGUUGUCACUUAUGAUUUAGAAAUCAUCUCUGAGACAGGAAAUUGGCCCUCAUAAAGUGUAUGCACUUGUUCUUUUUAUACUGAUAUAGGUAGUUUUCUGCUCAGUCUUAUGAAAAAGUAAAAUUUUUCAUGUUAGCUUUAAUCUCCAGUAUUUGAUGAUAGUAAACUUCGGUCAUCUUUGUUUCAAGUCGUACAUCAGCUUCUUCUUUUAUUGUGUAUGGUGACUUAUGAUAUAGAAAUCAUCUCUUUGACAGAAAAUGGCCCUGAUAAAGUGUAUACACUUAUAAAAGCAUGGAAUGCUCCAUAUUAAAUUUUCUGGGCCAUCUGUUCCACUAAUGACGAUUCCUCCCAUCUUGUCAAGUUAUUGUAUGUAAUGACACUUCUAUUAGUUCAAACUAUUGUCUGUUAAUUGUCAACAAAUAGCUCAGAUGCAUCCAAAUCUUCCAAUCUCAUACACACUUCUUUUCUGCCCAGUGGCUGUUUGCAUGUAAUGUCUGAGGAGUAGCAAGAGGUGGAUGACGUGUAUCUGCUUUAUAGUUUUCUUGUACAAAAUGUAUAAACGUCGUGAUGGUGGAGUCAAGCUAUUGUUGUUUUAAGUCGUCCAUCAGUUUGUUCUUUCAUUCUGCAUCAUCACUUAUGAUAUAAAAAUCAUAUGAAUUGCCCUUCAAAACUUUUGAAUCUCCAUCUUUUUAUGAUUGUGCAAUCUUGUAUGGUUGUAUCAAGUUGCAUUCAGCUUGUUCUUUCAUUUUGUGUUAUCACUGAUGACAUAAAAGUCAUAAUUCUUCAAGUCCCAAAUGAUGUAUCUGAUGAUUGCGAAAGUCCAUCAGCUGCUUCUUUUAUUCUGCAUCAACAUCUGCUAUAUAAAAAUCAUAAGUAUUGCAUUUCAGAAGGGUUCGUUCAAUCUCCAUCUUUUCAUGAUGGUGCACUUUGGUUGUUCUUCCAUUUUGUGUUAUCACUAAUGACAUAAAAGUCAUAUACCUGCAAGUCCCUAAUAUCGUGCCAUCACAACUUUAACAGUUUGUAAACACUACAGAUUGAUUUUGACAUUUCAACAAAAGUGUUGAGAAUGUGAAAAUGUUUGAGUUUUGGGAACUUGUUGAGUUUUAUUGUAAUAUUGCUGUACAUUUUCUUUGUUUGGCCUGGUCAGAAACAGCAUUCUAACCGUGUUGUUAGCACAUAGUGUUACAGUGUUAAUUUGCUGCAUGACAAUUCUUUAAGAAUAAAAAAAACAAGGUUUGCACCUUACAAGUAGACAUUAGGGGAUGCAUAACAAUAUCUUGAAUUUCUGGAAUCUGUAACCAAUUUACCAUCUAUGUACUUAAAUCGUACAUGCCAUUGGCAUAUCAGUUUCUGUUUAAUUUAUGCAUCCAACAAGAUAUUUAACACAUUUUUUUGUGUUAAAAAGUUCCCUAGCAAAGUAACACCUUCUACUGAGCUUUUGCUUCCUUUCAUUUUUAAUUUUUCUGAAAUUUACCUUCAUACUGUAUUUUGUCACUGGAUUGUUACUCCUCGACCGAGCAUGACAUUGCAUUGUAGUGUUGCAGCCAUGAUAUGUUGAAGGACAAUUCUUUUGGUAGGGUGCAAACAGUGUUUUCACCCUACCAGUAAUCAUCAAGGAAUACGUGACAAUAUCUUGAAAUUCUGCAAUCUGAACUUGUUUUGGUGGAUGCAAUUUAUGCAUCCAACACAACAAUUAACACAUUUUCUUAAAAUGUUCCCUAGCAAACUAACCCCUUCCACUAAGCUUUCCCUUCCUUUCAUUUUCAGUUUUUCUACAAAUGUACUUUGUCACUGUAUUGUUACCUCCUUAACCAGGCAUGACAUUACUUUGCAUUGUAAUGUAGUCUAUGUUUGAAAGUACAUUAAAUAAAAAAGAAUUAAAUAAGUGCUGACAUCUUUGUGGUAUCUAAACAGCCAGUAAAGUAUGUUGUGUACAAUUUCUGGAUUCCCGGCCUCUUUAGUUUUUUUAUGAAGUUCAGGUUUGUUCCAUUUCCAUUUCUACAAGAUGUUGCACUAUGGUCUUCAUUUCUAGUCUCAGUCAGCUUAACUUCCAUUUUGUGUCAUCACUUAUGACAUAAAAAUCAUAUUUCUGAAGAUUUUCACAAUUCAACAAGUGUUGUGAAAGUUGAGAAUGUUGCUCUAAAUUACUACAGCUUGGUCAGAAACAUCCUUCUAACCGUGUUGUUGCCUCUAUGAUGUGCUGCUGAAAGAGAUUUCUAAGCAACCGAAAAAAGGUAAGUUCCCUAGCUAUGACCUCCAGUUAUAUAUGUGUGGUUCUGAUUGUCAAGACAGAGAAUUGAUUUACACGCGUACACCUUGAUGAGGGUUGAUAGGGUUUAUUCACCAAAAUGAUAUGUUUGAACUGAAAAUAAGAUUAUAAAAUUCAUAAAGAAACUCACUGAACUGUAAUACUAAAUAGUUAAAAUGUAAUAUUGUAAAUUAGUGGAAUGAGGUAUUGUUAACUAAUUAAAUUUCAUGUAGAAAGUAAACUAUAAACACACUGUAGAACUCAAAUAAACAGAAUAAUCCAUAAACUAUAAUUACUUAAUCACUAAAUUACCAAAUUAUCGUUAACAAAGCACAUACACAUGAUGCAGUCAAACUAUUAAACUACUGUAUUACACGGUACUUGUUGUACAGCAUAAAGGCCUAUAUUAUUUAUAUCAUAAGAUAUUUCAUAACAAAUUAAAUCUAAUCAAACCUAAAAUAUAACAUAAAAUAAAGUUAAACUUACAUUUGUAUCCUCUUCAGAACCGUUGAGUGAAUACAGUUAAAAUUGAUAUUAUAAUAAACAGUACAGUAGUUGAAACAGAAGUUGAAUUGGUGAGUUGAAUGUAUAGUGACUAGAUUAAGAAAAAUGCAAAGCCAAACCCUGUCAUAGGGGCAAGAUAUAAAAGACAAUUAGGCUCUCUGAUUGGUCAGUACUAAUUAGUGUGCCUGGUCUUAUAUUACUUUACCAUAUUGAGCAGGCCCUACUGGUAGUGGACAGGGCUAGUAGAAGAAGUUCACUCUAUACUAACAGGGUAGAGGAUUAAUUUCACUAGUUUAAACCUUACACUAGCAAACUAACCUAUCCUACUGAGCUUUCCCUUUCCCAAUUCACAAGCCAUAAAUAUUUCCUCGUAUAGCAAAUAUAAAGAAGACUUUGAAACAUUUUGUCCACUGCUUGUAGAACUGUAGGACUUGGCACCUAAUGGUGUGGCGUUCAACCACAACAAAUACCUGCUCCGGAUCUUCUGUAAAGGCCAAUGCCAGUAUGAAUGGCUGACUGAGUGUGUUUCUCACACCACAAUGUUUGUUCCAAUCUUUAAUAAAUGAAAAAAAUUAGUCAGAGCGCUAUUUCCCAGCAGUGUGUUUAAUCCAGUGACUGGUAGAACUAUUGUUGAGCACAUAAAGGUCUCUACAAUAUGUGCUUAUGUAUAUGUUUACAAUUUUAUUAUUAUUAUUAACUUCUGCUUACUAAGUUCAUGCAAAUAUUUCAAUAGGUUUUCUUUCAACAUUACUCAGAAUAUAAUGUUGUUGUUGAGGGAUGAAAAAAUUGCCUGUUAUUUGCAUCGUUGGCUACUUCAACCUAUCAGCGCUAACGGCAAGUUCAAAGUAGUGAAUAACUUGGCUCUCCUCAUAGCAUCCAGUGCCUCGUCGAUGAUGGGUAAUGGAAAUGGAUCUAUGGCUGUAUUGUAUACAACAAUUGACAGCUAGAAACAAUUCUAGAACAUGUGGAUGAUGUCCAAUAAUGGUUAUAACAGCUAGCAACUAGAAACAACUCAAGAACAUGUAGAUGAACAUGUGGAUGAAUUCCUUUUAUGUUCCAUCAUAAUUAUUUGCAAACUGUACCUACAACCAGUGCAUCAUUGGAUACCAUGUGUGGUAAUUACGGCUCCGGUCAGAUGUCAACAGAAUCAACAUAAUGAAUCUCUGCAGAGCGUUAAUUAUUAAUGUAUUUGCUAUUAAAUUAAUAUGAAGAUGAUCCGCAUUGUUUAUGCCAAUUUUAGAAUUCCUUAAGGAGCUUUCCAAUAGCUGCUUGUAAUGUCUGCAUCCCAAUGUGUGGAAGAAUUUUAAACUGUAAUUCAGUGUACCUUUCAUUUAAUGUUUUUAAUUUUUCAUAUCUUGUUGGUAAGUAAAAUCUGUCUUUUCAUAAAAUUUGGUUAAUAACAAGAUAUCUGAAAUCUAACUGCAUUUUGGUGGGUGCAAUUUAUACCUAACCUUAGAAUAAGCAAUUUUAAGUUUUAGCUAGAGUUUGCCCUCCAAUUGGACACCUAAAUAUUCAAAGUCACUUUUUUAGAGUACUGGUUACUGAUGUAUGGGUAUUUAUAUUGCGCCUUUCCCUUGCGGUUAUGAAGCGCAAGCCAAGCCUCAAUGAUUUAGGAAAACAGUGGCAGGCAUAAAAUUGGUCAUCAUUCACAAAGAUUCAAGAUUCAAAAUAACUUUAUUACAAACUUUGAAAUUUGAAAUGUACAGAAUAAUUAAUAAUAAUAUACAAAUAUAUAUGAAACAUUUAAAAUGCUCAAUUAAAAUUCAUCUCAACAUUAAAGUACAAAAAAAAAAUUUUAAAAAAAAAUCCACAAAAAGGAAAAUGCAGAAGAAAGUGACAGUACUAUCUUUUAACAAAAAGGUAACCUCCUAAAUGGAGACCGAACCCUGAGACCACCCCACAUGUUAAGGUCCCAAUUUGGAGGGCAAACUGUUGUUUUGAGCCCACUUGUGACUUUGUGGCUGAACGGUGGGCUUGGAGCUAUUAGUGGUAUCAGACUAAAGCUGAAAAUUGGGGGGGGGGUUGAAGGCAUUUUUCUUUGUGGCCGAGGUCACGAUUUAUUGUAGAGUUCUAGUUCAAGAUAGUUAAUAAAAACUUUUGUUCCUGACAAUUAUGAUCAUAAUAGAGUUUUUUUUUAUAAUCUGAAAUGACAAUAAUAAUAACAAUAUUUAAUGUAAGAACCAUAUCAUUAGGACUGGAAUGCUAUUUAUAUGGGAAAAAAAUAUAGGCUGACCAGAUAUUACAAUGUAUACAUCUCCUUAAAUUUACUAUUUGGCAGAGCAGUCUGAUAGAAAGUAUACGAUUUAAUAUAUUACAUUUCACCAUUUUAGAUUUAUUUACUUGGACACAUUUCCAACAAUUGACAUCUUUUGUAUCUUACCUACACGUUACAUCUGAAAUGACAAUGGAAUAAAAAUAUCCAACGUAAGAACCACAUCA